CGCGGGGUAGAGCAGUUCGGUAGCUCGUCGGGCUCAUAACCCGGAGGUCGCAGGUUCAAAUCCUGUCCCCGCAA
This is a transfer RNA of Erysipelothrix larvae, 74 nucleotides long. It matches the Rfam family "tRNA". Rfam says of the family: Transfer RNA (tRNA) molecules are approximately 80 nucleotides in length. Lineage: Bacteria; Bacillati; Bacillota; Erysipelotrichia; Erysipelotrichales; Erysipelotrichaceae. The record is from Rfam.